Molecule: ribosomal RNA, 402 nt
Filed under: bacterium
Lineage: Bacteria
Description: partial 16S ribosomal RNA
Rfam family: Bacterial small subunit ribosomal RNA
Source: RNAcentral
UGGGGAAUUUUGCACAAUGGGGGAAACCCUGAUGCAGCGACGCCGCGUGAUUUAGAAGGCCUUCGGGUUGUAAAAAUCUUUUCUAUGGGAAGAAAAUGACAGUACCAUAGGAAUAAGGACCGGCUAAUUACGUGCCAGCAGCCGCGGUAAUACGUAAGGUCCGAGCGUUGUCCGGAAUCAUUGGGCGUAAAGGGUACGUAGGCGGGUAAGCAAGUUAGAAGUGAAAUCCUAUAGCUCAACUAUAGUAAGCUUUUAAAACUGCUCAUCUUGAGGUAUGGAAGGGAAAGUGGAAUUCCUAGUGUAGCGGUGAAAUGCGCAGAUAUUAGGAGGAAUACCGGUGGCGAAGGCGACUUUCUGUCCAUAACCUGACGCUGAGGUACGAAAGCGUGGGUAGCAAACAGG